This 464-nucleotide ribosomal RNA is filed under the name uncultured bacterium. RNAcentral's name for it is "partial 16S ribosomal RNA". It matches the Rfam family "Bacterial small subunit ribosomal RNA", at positions 28 to 507 of the family's 1533-position model. The record is from RNAcentral.
GACGAACGCUGGCGGCGUGCUUAACACAUGCAAGUCGAACGGUAAGGCCCUUUCGGGGGUACUCGAGUGGCGAACGGGGGAGUAACACGUGGGUGAUCUGCCCUGCACUUUGGGAUAAGCCUGGGAAACUGGGUCUAAUACCGGAUAGGACUACGCGAUGCAUGUCGUGUGGUGGAAAGCUUUUGCGGUGUGGGAUGGGCCCGGGGCCUAUCAGCUUGUUGGUGGGGUGAGGGCCUACGAAGGCGACGAGGGGUAGCCGGCCUGGGAGGGUGUCCGGCCACAGUGGGACUGAGAGACGGCCCAGACUCCUACGGGAGGCAGCAGUGGGGAAUAUUGCACAAUGGGCGCAAGCCUGAUGCAGCGACGCCGCGUGGGGGAUGACGGCCUUCGGGUUGUAAACCCCUUUCAGCACAGACGAAGCGUAAGUGACGGUAUGUGCAGAAGAAGCACCGGCUAACUACGUG